AUUGAACGCUGGCGGCAUGCUUUACACAUGCAAGUCGAACGGCAGCGCGGGCUUCGGCCUGGCGGCGAGUGGCGAACGGGUGAGUAAUACAUCGGAACGUGCCCAGUAGUGGGGGAUAGCCCGGCGAAAGCCGGAUUAAUACCGCAUACGACCUGAGGGUGAAAGCGGGGGAUCUUCGGACCUCGCGCUAUUGGAGCGGCCGAUGGCAGAUUAGCUAGUUGGUGGGGUAAAGGCCUACCAAGGCGACGAUCUGUAGCUGGUCUGAGAGGACGACCAGCCACACUGGGACUGAGACACGGCCAAGACUCCUACGGGAGGCAGCAGUGGGGAAUUUUGGACAAUGGGCGAAAGCCUGAUCCAGCAAUGCCGCGUGUGUGAUGAAGGCCUUCGGGUUGUAAAGCACUUUUGGCGGGAACGAAAAGGACUGUGCCAAUACCACGGUUCGAUGACGGUACCCGCAGAAUAAGCACCGGCUAACUACGUG
This 484-nucleotide ribosomal RNA is filed under the name uncultured bacterium. RNAcentral describes it as "partial 16S ribosomal RNA". It matches the Rfam family "Bacterial small subunit ribosomal RNA", at positions 29 to 507 of the family's 1533-position model. The record is from RNAcentral.